Molecule: ribosomal RNA, 429 nt
Filed under: Pseudomonadota bacterium
Lineage: Bacteria; Pseudomonadati; Pseudomonadota
Description: Proteobacteria bacterium partial 16S ribosomal RNA
Rfam family: Bacterial small subunit ribosomal RNA
Source: RNAcentral
UGGGGAAUAUUGGACAAUGGGCGAAAGCCUGAUCCAGCCAUGCCGCGUGUGUGAAGAAGGUCUUCGGAUUGUAAAGCACUUUAAGUUGGGAGGAAGGGCAGUAAGCGAAUACCUUGCUGUUUUGACGUUACCGACAGAAUAAGCACCGGCUAACUCUGUGCCAGCAGCCGCGGUAAUACAGAGGGUGCAAGCGUUACUCGGAAUUACUGGGCGUAAAGCGCGCGUAGGUGGUUCGUUAAGUUGAAUGUGAAAGCCCCGGGCUCAACCUGGGAACUGCAUCCAAAACUGGCGAGCUAGAGUAGGGCAGAGGGUGGUGGAAUUUCCUGUGUAGCGGUGAAAUGCGUAGAUAUAGGAAGGAAAACCAGUGGCGAAGGCGACCACCUGGGCUCAUACUGACACUGAGGUGCGAAAGCGUGGGGAGCAAACAGG